This 500-nucleotide ribosomal RNA is filed under the name uncultured bacterium. RNAcentral describes it as "partial 16S ribosomal RNA". It matches the Rfam family "Bacterial small subunit ribosomal RNA", at positions 30 to 523 of the family's 1533-position model. The record is from RNAcentral.
AUCGAACGCUGGCGGCAUGCCUUACACAUGCAAGUCGAACGGCAGCACGGGAGCAAUCCUGGUGGCGAGUGGCCAACGGGUGAGUAAAGUAUCGGAACGUGCCCAGUCGUGGGGGAUAACGUAGCGAAAGUUACGCUAAUACCGCAUACGAUCUAUGGAUGAAAGCGGGGGAUCGCAAGACCUCGCGCGAUUGGAGCGGCCGAUAUCAGAUUAGGUAGUUGGUGGGGUAAAGGCUCACCAAGCCGACGAUCUGUAGCUGGUCUGAGAGGAGGACCAGCCACACUGGGACUGAGGCACGGCCCAGACUCCUACGGGAGGCAGCAGUGGGGAAUUUUGGACAAUGGGCGAAAGCCUGAUCCAGCCAUGCCGCGUGCAGGAUGAAGGCCUUCGGGUUGUAAACUGCUUUUGUACGGAACGAAAAGGUUUGGGCUAAUAAGCUGAGCUCAUGACGGUACCGUAAGAAUAAGCACCGGCUAACUACGUGCCAGCAGCCGCAGUAA